GAGUUUGAUCAUGGCUCAGAUUGAACGCUGGCGGAAUGCUUUACACAUGCAAGUCGAGCGGCAGCGCGGGGCAACCUGGCGGCGAGCGGCGAACGGGUGAGUAAUGCAUCGGAACAUGUCCAUGUCGUGGGGGAUAGCCCGGCGAAAGCCGGAUUAAUACCGCAUAUGCCCGAGAGGGGAAAGUGGGGACCGCAAGGCCUCACGCGAUUGGGUUGGCCGAUGUCCGAUUAGCUAGUUGGCGGGGUAAGAGCCCACCAAGGCGAUGAUCGGUAGCUGGUCUGAGAGGAUGAUCAGCCACACUGGGACUGAGACACGGCCCAGACUCCUACGGGAGGCAGCAGUGGGGAAUUUUGGACAAUGGGGAAACCCUGAUCCAGCCAUUCCGCGUGAGUGAAGAAGGCC
This 402-nucleotide ribosomal RNA is filed under the name uncultured beta proteobacterium. RNAcentral's name for it is "bacterial SSU rRNA". It matches the Rfam family "Bacterial small subunit ribosomal RNA", at positions 9 to 416 of the family's 1533-position model. Lineage: Bacteria; Pseudomonadati; Pseudomonadota; Betaproteobacteria. The record is from RNAcentral.